GUGGGGAAUAUUGCACAAUGGGCGAAAGCCUGAUGCAGCAACGCCGCGUGAGGGACGACGGCCUUCGGGUUGUAAACCUCUUUUAGUAGGGAAGAAGCGAAAGUGACGGUACCUGCAGAAAAAGCACCGGCUAACUACGUGCCAGCAGCCGCGGUAAUACGUAGGGUGCAAGCGUUAUCCGGAAUUAUUGGGCGUAAAGAGCUCGUAGGCGGUCUGUCGCGUCUGCUGUGAAAACUGGAGGCGCAACCUCCAGCCUGCAGUGGGUACGGGCAGACUAGAGUGCGGUAGGGGAGAUUGGAAUUCCUGGUGUAGCGGUGGAAUGCGCAGAUAUCAGGAGGAACACCGAUGGCGAAGGCAGAUCUCUGGGCCGUAACUGACGCUGAGGAGCGAAAGCGUGGGGAGCGAACAGGAUUAGAAACCCUGGUAGUCC
RNAcentral lists this ribosomal RNA (430 nucleotides) under uncultured bacterium. Its description in RNAcentral is "partial 16S ribosomal RNA". It matches the Rfam family "Bacterial small subunit ribosomal RNA", at positions 354 to 796 of the family's 1533-position model. The record is from RNAcentral.